UCUGGCUCAGAACGAACGCUGGCGGCGGGCUUCAUACAUGCAAGUCGAGCGGAAAUGCCCUUCGGGGGUACUCGAGCGGCGAACGGGUGAGUAACAAGUGGAUAAUCUGCCUUCCGGUGGGGGACAACGGCUGGAAACGGCCGCUAAUACCGCAUACGGUCAUUGCGCCUUCGGACGCGAUGAAGAAAGGGGCUUCGGCCUCGCCGGGAGAUGAGCCCGCUUCCCAUUAGCUAGUUGGUGUGAUAAAAGCGCACCAAGGCUACGAUGGGUAGCCGAGCUGAGAGGUUGAUCGGCCACACUGGAACUGAGACACGGUCCAGACACCUACGGGUGGCAGCAGUAGGGAAUAUUGCGCAAUGGGCGAAAGCCUGACGCAGCCACGCCGCGUGGGGGAUGAAGGCCUUCGGGUCGUAAACCCCUUUUCUGAGGGAAGAACAAGCCGGGGAGGUAAUGCCCCGGCCCUGACGGUACCUCAGGAAUAAGCAACGGCUAACUCCGUGCCAGCAGCCGCGGUAAUACGGAGGUUGCGAGCGUUGUUCGGAAUUACUGGGCGUAAAGGGGGCGCAGGCGGCCGUGCAAGUGGAAAGUGGAAUCCCGGGGCUCAACCUCGGACGUGCUUUCCAAACUGCAUGGCUUGAGUCCGGGAGAGGAAGAUGGAAUUCCAGGUGUAGCGGUGAAAUGCGUAGAUGUCUGGAGGAACACCAAUGGCGAAAGCGGCUUACUGGACCAAAACUGACGCUGAGGUACGAAAGCGUGGGUAGCAAACCGGAUUAGAUACCCUGGUAGUCCACGCCCUAAACGAUGUCAACUAGUUGUUGGGAGCCUUAAUAGCUCUUAGUGACGAAGCUAACGCGUUAAGU
RNAcentral lists this ribosomal RNA (860 nucleotides) under uncultured organism. RNAcentral describes it as "bacterial SSU rRNA". It matches the Rfam family "Bacterial small subunit ribosomal RNA", at positions 18 to 865 of the family's 1533-position model. The record is from RNAcentral.